RNAcentral lists this ribosomal RNA (466 nucleotides) under uncultured bacterium. Its description in RNAcentral is "partial 16S ribosomal RNA". It matches the Rfam family "Bacterial small subunit ribosomal RNA", at positions 28 to 507 of the family's 1533-position model. The record is from RNAcentral.
GACGAACGCUGGCGGCGUGCUUAACACAUGCAAGUCGAACGGAAAGGCCCUGCUUUUGUGGGGUGCUCGAGUGGCGAACGGGUGAGUAACACGUGAGUAACCUGCCCUUGACUUUGGGAUAACUUCAGGAAACUGGGGCUAAUACCGGAUAGGAGCUCCUGCUGCAUGGUGGGGGUUGGAAAGUUUCGGCUUGGGGAUGGACUCGCGGCUUAUCAGCUUGUUGGUGGGGUAGUGGCUUACCAAGGCUUUGACGGGUAGCCGGCCUGAGAGGGUGACCGGCCACAUUGGGACUGAGAUACGGCCCAGACUCCUACGGGAGGCAGCAGUGGGGAAUAUUGCACAAUGGGCGGAAGCCUGAUGCAGCAACGCAGCGUGCGGGAUGACGGCCUUCGGGUUGUAAACCGCUUUCGCCUGUGACGAAGCGUGAGUGACGGUAAUGGGUAAAGAAGCACCGGCUAACUACGUG